CUCCCCGGCCGGCCGCUCGAGCUUCCCUCCAGGGCUCGCUUAAGCUCGCGGCGCCGCACUCGAGUGCCCGGAGCGGGCAACGUACAGACUCCAGCUCCCCGCGGCUGCCUGCGCCCCGCUCCCCGCCAGCCUCGGGAGGCGGCGCCGCACAGCUCCCCCGGCGGAGCAGCCCAGCUGAUCACAGGCUGCGGGGACCGCUCUCCAGCCACAGCUGCCGCCACAUGUGGGAGCAGGGACAGCCCGCAGCUCUGCCCGGCCAGGGCGUCCCCGCCUCCUGCAAGCGAGACACGUACAGGGCCAAGCUCGACGCUCCGGCAGCCACCGACUGCGGCUCUGACACAGGCAAGCACCGAGCGAGCCCAACGCUGUAAAUAGCGCGGCGCCGACCUAGCCUGCCCCGACGCCCGCCCCUCGCUCCUCCCACCAUGCCCCCAGCACCGCUCUCAUAGGUUCCGCUUCUCUGCCACUCACAGCAGCCUGGAGCCUGCGGUCGCCCCGCCCCCCCGCCGCUUGCAAAUGGGCCCGGGGGGGAUCCGCAAUUCAUGCCCAGGGCAGCGAGGGGCGGGGCGGAGCGGAAGCAGAGCGCCCGGGUGUCCCGGCAGGACAGACGCGUCUCCGCGGAACACGACGCUCCCCCAUCCCCGCAUUCACACCAGCCUUGCAGCAAGGCUUGGGGCGCUCCCCCGCAGUGUUUCCAAUCCAACACUUUAAAGUCACGCCCGCCCCACCUUGGUGCUCAGGGCCCCGAUCAGCCAACUCGUAAGAACCAAACUGCCUGGGGACACUUGCCCAAACCAAGCCCUGCCUCGCCCGAGGAGGAAUGUGCCAAUGCAUAAAUUCGGUAACAAUGUGGAUACCAGAAAUGUCAUUGCAUCAAGCUUUUUAAAAGAAAUUACAACACACCAAGGUUCACGAUGCCACAUCACCCACUAAUGGAAUUACAACUGAAGCAAUGUGCUACUGGUGCCUUUUAUUUGCACACAUAGGAAAAUCUCAAUUUGCCAAAGUAAUUUAUAAUCUUCUAGCUCAGCAUUUCCUCUAUGUUCUCAGAAUUGAUGACAAGUGUAUUUAGCAGGCUUCGCUGUCGUGUGUGGCACGUAUGCUCUGGAGUUGGUAGUUGGUUUGUGUUCAUUAAGUUGCAUUGUUGCGUUAAAGUAAUAUGAGAGACUAUUUCUGAAUAUUACAAAUGUUCUGUCAAACUGAACAUGUAUAGACUCUAAUAUCUUGUCUAGAGGGCAAUGUGUUUGAAAUCAAUUUUAAGAGGCAAAAUUUCCUCAACAGCUGUCAUGUUUGAGUUGUGAUCUAACAUUUACUAUAAAACAUUUCAACUUCUGUUUUCAAGCUAUACAGAUGUUUGAAGUGCCACAGCUGGGAGGGACUUGCAGGGUGCAACUACUACUCACCAAUCUUUGCUCCCUUGAAACCUGUGGAGUUCAUUCUCCAGGGGAUCCACUCUGGUUUGAGCCAUGGAGGGAUGUGUCAGGAGGCACGGCGUUUGAUUUACUCAUGACUACCACAUUUCCUCCUCCUCUCUGAUUACUAGCACAAGCAUUCUGCAUAGGAAACUGUGGGGUCCCAUGACGGACCAUACACAAACAAAAUAAUUCAGCCUUUGCAAUACUAGUUUGCUUCUCUUUUAGAGGCAAAAGCAAACAGGGACAGACUUGGCCCAUAAAAGGGACAGGAGACAGGCCUAGCGCAAAGCAAAAUAAUGAUAUGUUCUGCAACAAGAAGGAAUGUGGGAUAAUAACUACAAGGAACCAGCAAGCAAAGCACCCGAGGCCUGAGGCAGCAUGAGGAGGUGUCUGUAACAAUCAUGAGAGAGCAGCCCGGAGCCUUAACUUGUAAUGACUAUGUAGCCCACAUAUCAAAAGGCUCUCCCACAAACACACACAACUACAAAUACAAUGAAGCCCUUUGAAAUGAAUACUGAAUAAAGGAAUAACAUGGUUUCA
Molecule: long non-coding RNA, 1955 nt
Filed under: Chrysemys picta bellii (western painted turtle)
Lineage: Eukaryota; Metazoa; Chordata; Testudines; Emydidae
Description: lncRNA (ENSCPBG00000015862.1)
Source: RNAcentral